GACGAACGCUGGCGGCGUGCCUAAUACAUGCAAGUUGAGCGCUGAAGGUUGGUCCUUGUACCAACUGGAUGAGCAGCGAACGGGUGAGUAACGCGUGGGGAAUCUGCCUUUGAGCGGGGGACAACAUUUGGAAACGAAUGCUAAUACCGCAUAAAAACUUUAAACACAAGUUUUAAGUUUGAAAGAUGCAAUUGCAUCACUCAAAGAUGAUCCCGCGUUGUAUUAGCUAGUUGGUGAGGUAAAGGCUCACCAAGGCGAUGAUACAUAGCCGACCUGAGAGGGUGAUCGGCCACAUUGGGACUGAGACACGGCCCAAACUCCUACGGGAGGCAGCAGUAGGGAAUCUUCGGCAAUGGACGAAAGUCUGACCGAGCUACGCCGCGUGAGUGAAGAAGGGUGUCGGAUCGUAAAACUCUGUUGGUAGAGAAGAACGUUGGUGAGAGUGGAAAGCUCAUCAAGUGACGGUAACUACCCAGAAAGGGACGGCUAACUACGUG
RNAcentral lists this ribosomal RNA (497 nucleotides) under uncultured bacterium. RNAcentral describes it as "partial 16S ribosomal RNA". It matches the Rfam family "Bacterial small subunit ribosomal RNA", at positions 28 to 507 of the family's 1533-position model. The record is from RNAcentral.